UAUAGUCGCUAUACAAACAAU
RNAcentral lists this non-coding RNA (21 nucleotides) under Caenorhabditis elegans. Lineage: Eukaryota; Metazoa; Nematoda; Chromadorea; Rhabditida; Rhabditidae. The record is from RNAcentral.